UACGAAGGGGGCUAGCGUUGCUCGGAAUUAUUGGGCGUAAAGAGCUCGUAGGCGGUCAGUCGCGUCUGCUGUGAAAACUCGGGGCUUAACUCCGGGCCUGCAGUGGGUACGGGCUGACUAGAGUGCGGUAGGGGAGACUGGAAUUCCUGGUGUAGCGGUGGAAUGCGCAGAUAUCAGGAGGAACACCGAUGGCGAAGGCAGCUCGCUGGGACGGUACUGACGCUGAGGCGCGAAAGCGUGGGGAGCGAACAGG
This 253-nucleotide ribosomal RNA is filed under the name uncultured bacterium. RNAcentral describes it as "partial 16S ribosomal RNA". It matches the Rfam family "Bacterial small subunit ribosomal RNA", at positions 524 to 776 of the family's 1533-position model. The record is from RNAcentral.